This 1111-nucleotide long non-coding RNA is filed under the name Mytilus galloprovincialis (Mediterranean mussel). The record is from RNAcentral. Lineage: Eukaryota; Metazoa; Mollusca; Bivalvia; Mytilida; Mytilidae.
UGCCUACAUCUUUGUAAAAGCUUUCAAAAUAUACAAAUACCGUGUAUGUUUUACAUGUACAUUGUACAUAACUCCUGUUAAUCAAACUACUAGCUAUUAUACUUUAUAUUUAAAUUAAGUACCCUUAAUGCAGAAAUUAUUGCGAUUUUUUUAUUAUUGCGAAAAAUUCGACAGGGUUAUAAUCGCAAUAAUUUGAACUUUCAAUUUGAAUUCUUUUAUAUGAAUUAAACAAUUAAAUUUUUCUCAAUAUCACAAAAAUUAAAAUCACAUUUUAGUCUAAAUUGAUAAAUCGCAACAAUAAAAGCACACAAUAAUUUCUGAAUUGACAGUACUUAUACAAGUCUUAAUGCAGUGUAUACUAUCUUAUAGAUAAUAAUACAGAAAUAUAGAAAAUCGGUGUUGUUUUGCUUUUCCGGUGGGUGUACAAGUUUAUGAGGUGAUUAAAAGUUUGUAUCCUUAUACAUACAAGUUAAAAUUUGAGUGUUCAUUCUGUGUUGAUUCAGCUCAAUUGGAAAAAAAAUCCUUUAAAUUCUUAAUUUUUGUAGUCGUGACUUUUUGACAUUGUUCUUGAUUGUAUUUUUUGUGUGUAAUUUUUUUAAAGAAAUUGCAGUCCAUAUAUAUAAAGAAUGAACUUUCAUAAAAGUUAUGUAUACAUAUUCUCUUCUUUUUUGCAUGUUGCUCAGGUUUAGCCAAUGCAGAACUAUGGUCCAUAUAUGACCAUAUUCUAUUUACCAUGAAAGAGGGUAUUAUUGUCAUAUCAGCAUCUUCUACAUGAUAGUGGUCAUUUACUUUUAAAUCUAUAGAUGUUUGCACUUGCAAUAAUAUAAAGAAAUAAGUAGAGGAUUAAAUUCACAAGGGUCAGAAUUUUAAUUUCUAUCUUUUUUUAAUCGGGAUAAAAUACUGUAUAUUUUACACAAAUACAUUCGUGAUAUCAAAAUAAAUUCAAAAUAACUUUUUUUGUAAAUUAACAUUAUUAAUUAUGAAUUUAUGAUUCUUAUUAAAUCAUAUUUUAUUUAUAAGGUUGUAACAACUUUUUGUAAUAAUAAAUAAGUUUUAAGCAUAUAUAUACAAAUUUAACUUCAACAACUGUUGUGUAUAACAAUGUACAUAA